RNAcentral lists this ribosomal RNA (447 nucleotides) under Deraeocoris sanghonami. RNAcentral describes it as "partial large subunit ribosomal RNA". It matches the Rfam family "Bacterial large subunit ribosomal RNA", at positions 1944 to 2600 of the family's 2925-position model. Lineage: Eukaryota; Metazoa; Arthropoda; Insecta; Hemiptera; Miridae. The record is from RNAcentral.
GACUGUACAAAGGUAGCAUAAUCAUUUGUCUCUUAAUUGGGGUCUAGAAUGAAAGGUUGGAUGAGGGGUGUAUUUUCUUUAUUUUAAGUGAAUGAAUUUAAUUUUUGUGUUAAAAAGCAUAAAUUGUAAUGUAGGACGAGAAGACCCUAUAGAACUUUAUUAUGAUUCUUAUAUUUUAAUUUUAGUUUUUAUAAUUUAGAUUGUUUGAUGAUCAUAAUUUGAUUGGGGUGAUGGAAAAAAUUAUAUAACUUUUUUUAUUUUUAUCAUUUAUGUAUGGGUUUUUGAUCCUUUUUUAGGAAAAAAGAUUAAGUUACCUUAGGGAUAACAGCGUUAUUUUAUUAUAGAGUUCAUAUCGAUAAUAUAGUUUGCGACCUCGAUGUUGGAUUAAAAUAAGUGGCAGGAGUAGAUUAUUGCUUACUAGGUCUGUUCGACCUAUAAAUUUUUACA